Long non-coding RNA from Fukomys damarensis (Damara mole-rat), 425 nucleotides. RefSeq lists it as uncharacterized. The record is from RefSeq and is a predicted model, not a curated record. Lineage: Eukaryota; Metazoa; Chordata; Mammalia; Rodentia; Bathyergidae. The transcript has 3 exons.
AUGCCUCAAGGCUCUGUCUAGUUGGGAUGGAUGCGCUCUUUCUGUGUCAAGACGUGACAUGUAACAACCAGUCCAUUUUUCCAUCUUUCUUCAGUUCCUAUGUAGUCCACGAGGGCAUCUCUGUCUCCUGUGCCUCCACAAAACACCUGGAAGGGCUCUGGGAGACUCAAGGAGCUUUUGGUAAAAUGGGUCCCUGAACUCUUGGACAUACACUGCAGCCGUGGGCCACAAACAUCUUGGAGAAAAUGUUUCACCACCAAAAGAAGAGGCUCAAACACAGAGGCCAGCUUUUACGGAUGACCUUACUAUGCUGUGAGCCACCAGCCACACAGAAGCAUCAGCUAAUCCCUGGUGAGCAUCAGGAAAUGGCUGCAGAAGUGAUUCCCUGUGAGGUGAAAAAUGGAGCUGGGCAACCAAUCGCCUGA